UACGUAGGGGGCUAGCGUUGUCCGGAAUCAUUGGGCGUAAAGCGCGUGUAGGCGGCCCGGUAAGUCCGCUGUGAAAGUCCAGGGCUCAACCCUGGGAUGCCGGUGGAUACUGUCAGGCUCGAGUCCGGAAGAGGCGAGUGGAAUUCCUGGUGUAGCGGUGAAAUGCGCAGAUAUCAGGAGGAACACCGAUGGCGAAGGCAGCUCGCUGGGACGUGACUGACGCUGAGACGCGAAAGCGUGGGGAGCAAACAGG
RNAcentral lists this ribosomal RNA (253 nucleotides) under uncultured bacterium. Its description in RNAcentral is "partial 16S ribosomal RNA". It matches the Rfam family "Bacterial small subunit ribosomal RNA", at positions 524 to 776 of the family's 1533-position model. The record is from RNAcentral.